Molecule: long non-coding RNA, 587 nt
Filed under: Manihot esculenta (cassava)
Lineage: Eukaryota; Viridiplantae; Streptophyta; Magnoliopsida; Malpighiales; Euphorbiaceae
Description: long non-coding RNA (MESC_LNC010953)
Source: RNAcentral
UUCCCCCUGAAGAGCAUCCGCGUGCCUCUUUCCUUCUGAAGACCUUGCAAUGCGAUUCCUUCCUUUCCAGACACAACUUGGGCGGCAAGUACCUCUUGGGCAGCAUCUUGAAGACACUUGGGCAGCAAGUAAAAUCUUGGACAGCACACUCUUACCUUUUGAAGCCAUUCCGCGCGCCACUUUCCAUCUGAAGAGCAAGCGCACGCCUCUUUCCUUCUUAAUAAUUUUGGAACGCGAAUCUUUCCUUUUCUAACUCAACUUGGGCAGCAAGUACCUCUAGGGCAGCAAGGUCAGCAUCUAAAACCUAUUUAAAGACUCCUUAAAGGCCAGCCGAUCCUCUCUCCACGUUUUUGCAACACCAUCUGCGCAAGCCUCUCAUCCGGCUCCAUCUUCUCUUCAUCUUCUUCUUCCUUUCUUUCUUUUUUUGGUUUUUGUUUCAGCUAUGAGUGGCUGAAACCUUUUAAUCUAGUUGAAAAUUGGUUGAAACUAAGGUUGUUUUAAUGGAUUGUGAGAUCUAAACAUAAAUUGUUUGUCUUUAGUUUGUUUAAUAUUCAUACAAUUUGGUGCUUGAAUCUAUUAUUACUUUG